AAAACAACACUGCUCCGACUGCAGUGCUGCAGUCGCACCGAAAUUUCGCUCGUCGAAUACACGCCCGUGGCUUUUGUGUCCUGCUGACGAUCUGUGAUUGAUUAAACCACGAGAUACCUUGGAGUUUUAAUUGGAAGAAAAUAAUAAUAAUUUCGUGAUAGAAAAAAGUAUGGAAUAUAGUUUUUUGUUAUCGAAGAAGAGGAGAAUGAAGAUCGCAAGGCUCCGGCGCUGAUAUUCUACAUAACCUUGACCUUGGCGACCGCCGGCUUGGAUGUCACACCAAUUUUCAAGACUGUGCAAUGCUAUUCAACAUGCCUGCAAUGUUACACAAUCAACGGCACUUACAUUGAGCAUAAUAACAGUCUAAAUUAUAGACAUAUGAUUCAGCAGCACUGCACGCCUCAUACAUUCAGAGCACGAACAACACCGGAACCAAAGUUCUUUAUCUUUUCCAAAUUCCCUUUGGGUCUGAAUUUCUUUCGGAUCGAGCGAGAGAAUACCUCGGCAAGGCUUUUGGAAAAUAUUAUUAGCGAAAAACCACGGAGCCCUUCGUUUCUUUGAAACAGAAACUCGGGCUUACAAUAGUAAAACGCCUAAUGCACAAUGAAAGGCACAGGCAAUAGAAACACGGAAUAACACAGUGCUGGGUAAGUUGUGACCAUCUCAGUAUUUGGAACAAAGAAGACCGAUUGUCUUACUGCAACAUUUUCUAAAACUGUGAAAGUUGCAAAACCGCUUGCUCGUUUUAUAAAUUACGAGAAGAAGAGGAAUACUAAACGACCAAAUUACCAACUCCUAAAGAAAACAAGACUAUCCACAUAAAUGACUAUAACAUUAUCGUGUUGAUGCAAAAAAAUUGGCAAGGGAUAUUGGAAGUAAAAAGUUAUCGCUUCAGUAAACAACAACUUACAAUAAAAGCGACUGGAUCAUUGUCGUUACAAAAGAUAGCGUCGUCAAACACUACAGCUGAGAAAAGUAGAGGCCAAAACUGCAGAUUCUCAAAGCCGGUGGUCCUGGAUCCUCUCUAUCAGAUCUAUAUCACAUGGCAGGAUAUCACAUGGCAAACUCAGUUAAAGAAUCAACGCGAAAGAAUUAUUUCAAAUAUCUUUAAGAGUAUUUCUCAAGAUCAGUACCAGUCCAAGAGGGAGACGAUUAUUUAUGAAUACCAGCGUGAACCAUUAUUUGUCAUUACUUGGCAGCAGGAGACGGGAGAUGGAAGAAGAAUAAGGAAAAUGCAGCAAUACAAGAAGACAACCAAAAGAAGAUAAGAAGAUGAACGAAAACAAGAAGAUAAACAAAAGAAAACAAGACGCAAAAUGUAAUAAUUCAGCCGGGAAAGAGUAUAUUAUAUUUUAUAUACGAGUGUGUACAUGACUAAACAUGUAUUAUGUCUAUAAAUAGAAUACAUAAUACACUAUUAUAUUUAUAAUAUAAUACAUAAUGCACUCGGCGCGCGAAAGUUUAUGUUAGUAAAAAAGGAAACGUGAAAAAAGGAAACAGAGAAAGAAGGAAAACUGUUGCUCUUCAAGUAAAUAUAUUUAAAGGAAAAUUACGUAUAUUCCGAAAAAGGUUUUUAGAUAGCUUUUUCAGAUCCUGAAAAAACCAUCAGUAGUUAUUUCUAAAUACUAAUAUACUAAAUAGUAUAUUAAAAUUACUAUAUUUAAAUAUAUAUAUGACAAUUUUUAUAACAAUGUAGAUAUUCCUUUAUUAACUAUUGCAUUUUUGAAUAUUUUAAUUUAUUACUUUUUUUUAAAAAACGUUCUUUUCUUUCCACUUUUUUUAAAUGUAGAAUCAAUUAAUAAAGCUACUUGUUGUAACUAUACAAUUAAUCGCAAAAAAUAACUUGCUUUAUUAACUGUUUCUAAUAUCAUGCGGUAAAUAACAUAGCGAUAACGAAAACAACUUUUGAGGCAUUGAUAUUAAUUAGAAAAUUUUUAUAAACUAUUACAAGAUAUUAAAAAUGCUUCACGCAAAUAAAAUGAUUGAGUGUAAACACUAAAAAAAGGAAAUGUUCUCUUACAAACAAAAAUGAUAUAAUAUUAAAGAGUCUGCGUAUAGGAUUAAUACGCACAGAUUUAAAUAAAAGAGAGAAUUUAGGAUUUCUUAGUGCUUUACAAAAUAAAUCUAGACAGGAUAAAUUGUAUACAGGUUAUCACAUUCAACACCAGAGACGUCAUUUUUCUAAUUACUUGAUCAAACUUAUAUAUUAAUUAGAUUUGUCAGUACUUUGCUUGCUUAGAAAGUUUACGUAUGAACAUAAAUAUCCUUCGUUUUCAUUAACGUUUGAAGAUUCUGAAAUUGAUAAAUUUAAUAAUAUUUUUAUUCGUCAUAAAAAGAAGUUAAUUCGUAUACGAAUUGAAUAUGUAAACAAAUAAUAUACAGAAAAUAAUAUUAACUAUGACAAAUUAUUUUAUAAAACAAGAUACAACUCUUUAAUUAAUAGUUAUUUCAAUACUUUUGCUAAACGUAUGUUUAAAACAAAUAAUUUAAAAAGAAUGUUGAAUAUCUUAUUAUCUAUACUAAUUUAAAUUUGAAUCUUAAAAGGAAACAUUUAAAAUAGAACGAUUUAAAACUUAUUAUCCUUUUAAAUUUGAUAACAUACAAACUAAAGAAUGUGAUAUUUUAAAAAAUUUUUUAUUUACAAGUGAUGAUACACAAGAGGAUGGUUUUUAUUUGUUUUCACUAGAUAAAACAACAAGAAAAAAGCUUUUAAAACAGUUGGAAUUUUUGUCUUUUACGAAGAAAGUAGUGCAAAAAAGAAAAUUUACACAAAAAUUUGAAAAAAGCAUAAAAGAAGCAUUUUUAAACAACUUAGUAUUUGCAGUUAAUUAGCCCAACAGAAAAAAAUAAGCAGCAUUGUAAAAUUGAAAUUUAAAAAAUGGUAAAAAUCAAGACGAUUAUAUAGCAUUACAAGAAAGAAUAUUAUUUGAUUUGAAACUUUCAGACAAGAAUAAAAAAAUGUGUGAUUAAUGUAUCCGGAAUCAGAUAUCAGUUCAAUUUAUUAUUGAACUUUCUUCAUAUUUGUGCAUAAAAAUAUAUUUUCCAUAAAUUUUGAAAAAAUAAUAACAGCAUCUAUCAUCAAAAUAGAAUUUCUUAUUUAAAUGUUCAUAACGCUGAUGCUAUUAUAAACAGUAAUCAGUUUUUUUCCUUUAGGCAGAAAGAAAAUAUGUUUUGUAUUAACAAAUAUUUUACACUAUUUGUUGAAAAACUUAUUGUUAGUGAGAAUAUUUGAUUCUCUACACUAAUGCUAAUUUAAAUCUUACAAAAGAAAAGAGGAUAAAAGAAAAGCUAUCUAAUAAUUCUUAUCUUUUAAAAUUUGAUAGUUUAAAUAUUUGCGAGAAAAAAUAUAAAGUUUUAAGAUACAGUUUGUCUAUAAAUGAAAAUGAUCUUUAACGAUUUUCGAAAAAAGUAACACGAGAAAAGAUCAUAAAUUUGUUACCGCUGCCACCUUCCUUGCAAAAAGAGAAGAAAGAGAAAAGACUUUUUAAUGAGAGCGAAAGAGUAAAAGAGAAAAGUUUUUAGUUAAUAUUUAAGUUGAUAUUUGCAGUUAAUCAGCCAGAUAAGAAAAAAUUAAAUACUCUUUAUAGUAAUAAUCAGUUACAUAAUUACCCAUACAGCUAUGAAUUACAUGAAAUACUGUUACGCUGGAUAGAGUUCCAUGAAUUUGAUUCUCUUACACAAGAAAUAAUGAAAAAACUUCUUCAGAAAAUAAAAAAUAAUAAAUCCAGUUACCAAACAAGUCAAAGUAAACACAUUAAUAAUGAAAUUAAAUAUGUUAGAAGUGUUAUUGGCAGUGCGGAAACAUCUCAAUUUCUUAGACUUUUUAAUUAAAGGGGAAGGACUAAAAUAUCUAACAAUUCUGAAAAGGAAAAGAAUAAAUUUAAUUAAUGUGUCCAGUAUUUUAAGUAGAUCAAGUGCUACAGAUUCUAAAGCAUUUAAAGACUUAUAUGCUCUAUGGUCUGAUAAAGAAAGAAAUAAAACAAAAUAUUUAAAAUCUCUAGAAGAAGAGGAAAUAAAUCUAGCAAACGUGUCUGGUAUUUUACAUACAGCAGGCGCUAAAGCUCCUAAAACAUUCAAAGACUUGCAGGUAUAUGAUUUGUGGUUUGAUUACGAAGAACACAAAAUACAAUAUUUGAAAUCUCUACAGGAAGUGAGAAUAAAUUUGGGAAAUGUGUCUGGUAUUUUACAUAUAGCACGCGUUAAAGUUCUUCAAAGACUUAUAUGAUCUGUGGUUUAAGGAAGAAAAACAUAAAAUGAAAUAUUUAAAAUUUCUAGAGAGAGAGAGGAAGAGAGAGAAACAGGAAAUAAAUCUAGGAAAUGUGUCUGGUAUUUUACAGCAGGCGCUAAAGCUCCUCGAGCAUUGAGGAGCUUUAACGCCUGAUCCAUUUAAAAUACUGGAGACAUUAGUUAGAUUUAUUUUUUUUUCCUCUAGAAAUUUUAAAUAUUUUUUUUUUUUUUUUUAUGUCCUUCUCAUCAAACCACAGAUCAUAUAAGUCUUUGAAUGUUUUAGGAACUUUAACGCCUAAUCUAUUCAAAAUACUGGACACAUUAGUUAAAUUUAUUCUUUCUUCCUUUAGGAUUUUUAAAUAUUUUGUUUUUUAACCUUCUUCAUCAAACCACAGUUCAUACAAAUCUUUGAAUGCUUUAAAAGCUUUAGCGCCUGAUCCACUUAAAAUACUGGACACGUUAAUUAGAUUUAUUAAUAAAUUUAAUUAACUUCUCCAGUAUUUUAAGUGGAUUAGGCACUAAAGCUUCUAAAGCAUUCAAAGACUUGUAUGAAUUGUGGUUUGAUGAAGAAGGAUACAAAACAAAAUAUUUAAAAUCUCUAGAGGAAGUUGGAAUAAAUCUAAGAAAUGUGUUUGGAAAUUUACAUACAGCACGCGAUAAAGCUUUUAAAGCCUUCAAAGACUUAUAUGAUCUAUGGUUUGAUGAAGAAGAACAUAAAACAAAAUAUUUAAAAAUCUCUAGAGGAAGAGGAAAUAAAUCUAACUAAUGUGUCCAGUAUUUUAAAUGGAUCAGGCGUUAAAGCUCCUCAAUGAAGAAAUAUUACAUAUUAGUGUAAUAUUACAUAUUAGUGUAAAAUAUCACAGUAAUAUUACUGAUAUAUUACAUGUUGAUAAAUAGCAUUGAAAUAUUACAAUAAUAUCGUUGCAAUAUAUUGUUGCAAUAUUUCAUCUUAAAGAACAAAGUAAUGUCAAAUGACGUUUCAAUUAUGUCUUAUUGAUGUUAACAGUGUCAUUAGGACGUUAUUAAUAUGUUGACUGCCAACUACAAAAUAUCUCGUAGGUUGUUUACUUGCCCAGGACGCCUACUACGAGUUACCUCGUUGCUUCAUUACUUACCAUAUAACAUGAUUAAAUCAAAUUGGCUUUUUAGACCGGAAUCGUGGAAAGUUUCGUGGCAGUCAACGUGUUCAAGUAUCACAAAGUUAUGGAUAUACACGCGCGCGCGCGCGCGCACACACACGCGCACACACACACACACACACACACACACACACACACACACACACACACACACAGAGAGAGGGUCUGGACAGUUAAGGAAUAUGUUUAACAUUAACAUUACUUUAAUAUAAAUGUAUUAUUAAGACUUGUAAUUUAUAGUUAUAUCUAUUAUUCAUUUAUAUUUACACAUAAUUCUUGAUAUAAUACAAUUGUAUGUAAUAUUUGCAAAACAAUAAAUUUAUGUUUGUACGGAAUUUUAAACUUUUGCGUAUAUGUUUCGGCAGAGCCAUGAUUCAAUCCGUUUGUUUUCUGUUCCUGAACUCCCUGAAUUAGUGUGCACUUAAAGUGAAAUAGAUAUAUAUUUGAAAGUUAGUGAAAACAAGAAGGAACGUUCCAGUGCAGUCUAGUGUAGGAAUAGAAAACCAGCCUUGUAUAUCUAUUUUGUUUGUCUAUGGCUAUUCCAAAACAAAUUCAUAUCAGGCAUGGAGGACCUGGAGAGAGCAUUAGGCAUGGAGGUAUAUUCCGUAAGGUUUUCUAAAGAUCCAGAAAGACGGAAGAAGUGGGUACAAUUUGUUAAUCAUCCAGAUUGGGAACCAACGAAUUAUAGUUUGUUAUGUUUUUCUCACUUUACAAGUGAUGAUUUUGAAACGAAUACAGGUGUGAGAAGAUGGUUAAAAUCUGAUGCAAAUCUUUCUGUGCACAUUUAUAACACCAAUAAUGUUUGUGAAAGCAGUUCUUUAUUGAUGCAAAAGUUAAUAAAUAUUUUUCACAUUUUGCAUAUACGAAAUUUUGAUACUGAGAUCUGUGAUUCUUUUAAAAAUAAUAAACUAUUGAAUAUAACUGUUCCUGGAACUAGCAACAAAAGUAUUGCCUGUGGAGAAAACUCCUUUUAUCCUUCAGCAAGCGACACACCUCGAAAAAUCAGCCUUAAAAGAAAAAUAAUAGAAUUGGAAAACAUGAACCAAUUGCGGCUAAAAAAAAUUCGCAAAUUGCAGCAUUUAAAUUAGCGCAAGAAAAAAAAACUAAAAAAUUUACAAGAUCUCAUCAAAACAUUAGAGAAUCGGAACCUACUAAAUGAGAAGGAUGAAGCCACAAUCAUGCAGAAUUUCAGUAACAACGCAGAAUUAUUUAGGAGAUUAUUGUUCAAAAAUAAGGGUAAAUCGAUACCAAGGAAAUAUUCUCAAAACUUAUGUAGUUUUGCACUAACGUUAAAUUUCUUUUCUCCAAAAGCUUAUAAUUAUGUUCGGGAUUGAUUUCUAUGUUCAUUACCACAUCCAAACACUUUAAAUAAAUGGUAUUCGACAAUUGAUAGUUCUCCGGGUUUUUGUUCAGAAGCAUUGCAUAUGUUAAGACUAAAAGUAAAAAAAUUAAUCAAACCUAUUAUAUGUUCUUUGGUUUUUGACGAGAUGGCCAUUCGCGAACAUUUAGAGUGGGAUGGUAAAAAGUAUUACGGUUUGGUAGAUUUUGGUGGUGUUGUUCAUGACACGCAAAUGGGAAAUGCAACUCAAGCACUUGCUUUCAUGUUAGUAUGUGUCAAUGAGGCGUGAAAAGUGCCUCGGAUACUUUCUCAUUAAUUCAUUGACAAGUACACAAAAAAUUGAAAUACUAAAACAAUGUGUGCAUGCUGUAUUCGAUUGUGGCAUUAUAAUAAGUAACAUAACGUUUGAUGGCGCAGCAGUUAAUUUCAGCGUACUAAGGCAGUUAAAUUGCAAUAUGGAUAUCAAAACAUUAAAUACCGAAGUCAAUAUUUGUACCAGCGAAUUUGUAUUUCCGGAUCCGUCACACAUGAUAAAGUUUUGGCGAAAUGCUAAGUUUGUUGGACAUAGACGGUAAUGAAAUUAAUUUCAAAUAUCUUGUGGAAUUAAAUAAAUUACAAGAGAAUGAGGGGCUUUAUUUAGCAAAUAGGCUAAGAAAUAGGCUAAGAAAAAAACACAUUUUAUUUUGCAAACAAAAAAUGAAAACAAAACUGGCAACUCAACUGUUAAGUCGAUCUGUUGUAGAUUCUUUAUUAUUUUGCAAAAAUGUACUAAAACUUAAAGCUUUCGCAGAUUGCGUUGCGACAGUAAAAUUCAUCAUUAUGAUGAAUGAUGCGUUCGACAUAUUAAAUUCGCGUAAAAUCACUGCUACGGGCUACAAGAAGGCAAUGUGCAAAGACAACAUUUGUACAAUUAAACAGUUUUAUUCGGACUUUUGUAUAUAUAUAUAUAUAUUUUUUUUUUUUCUUUUUUUUUUCGGGCUGAAGGAUAAGGACGGCGGAUUAAUUAUUGCAAGUCGAUGAAAGACAGGUCCACUCGGACUUGUCAUGGCCUUGAAAAGUGCCAUUUGUUUAUACGAUAUUUAUAUUGGUUGUGACACAUCUAUUUUAGAAUAUAUUCCACUUCAUAAAUUUGGACAAGACCAUUUGGAACUUUUUUUUGAUAAUUUGAGAGAUCAUGAUGGACACAAUGACAGUCCGACUGCACGACAGUUUACUGCAGUGUAUAAAAAAUUAUUAAUUUACUCUAAAAUAAAAAACAAUAGCAUCGGAAAUUGUAUUCCCUUGGAAGAAAUUAAUAUUUUGAAUUGUAAUUCCGGCAAAAAAGUUAGCGCUGUUGAUUUAAACAACGAAAGAAAUAUUAUUUAUAACGAAAUAUCAGAUUGCUCUACAGUUAAUGAGGCCUUUGAAGAUCACGACUAUCUGUUCUCUUGUACAUUGUCUGAAUACGCCCAAAGUAUUGUUGUGUACAUUGCUGGUUUUGUUGCCAAAAAAUUAUUAACAAAAAUUAAAUGUGAGAUAUGUCUAACGCAAUUGCUAGGGGAAAAAGACAAUUUGUUAAAUUCUUUUAUAAAUUUCAAAAAUAAAGGUCGGUUAACAUAUCCUUGCGAUAAUGUAAUAGCAGUCUGCAAAGAAACAGAGAAAAUAAUUCAGCACUAUCGUAUUUUAGAUAAUUUAACAGAUAAUGCAAUUAAGUAUAAAAUUUGCAACAAAACGCUUCAAAAAUUUUUCUUUUCUAAAAUAUUAGAUGAUAUGAACAGACUUCAUUCCAGCGACAAAAAUAUUUUGUAUAAUCAUUGGAUUUUAUUUAAAUUAAAAGCAAUUAUAAAAGAAUAUGCAGGUUUGAGACUGUACUACAUUGCGAAGCAAUUAUCUGCCAAAGAUUCUAUAAGAAAAUUAAAAAAAAAUUGUUUUGUUUAAAGGGCAAUAAUAUUGCACUGUUAUAUGAUAUGUUUUUAUUUAAAGGGCAAUGUAUUACAUUGU
This is an RNA transcript of Solenopsis invicta (red fire ant), 8685 nucleotides long. It is a transcript of the gene named THAP domain-containing protein 2, with no coding region annotated. NCBI's taxonomy places the organism in Eukaryota, Metazoa, Arthropoda, Insecta, Hymenoptera, Formicidae. The record is from RefSeq and is a predicted model, not a curated record. The transcript has 7 exons.